AAUAUACUCCGUCCGUUCAGAAUUACUUGUCAUCAAAAUGAAAAGAAAUUAAUGUAUCUAAAAUUAAAAUAUGUUUAGAAUCAUCCUUUUCUAUGGCAAGUAAUUUCGAACGGAGGGAAUAUAUA
Hordeum vulgare subsp. vulgare (domesticated barley) is the source of this 125-nucleotide non-coding RNA. The record is from Rfam. Lineage: Eukaryota; Viridiplantae; Streptophyta; Magnoliopsida; Poales; Poaceae.